Molecule: ribosomal RNA, 364 nt
Filed under: Clostridioides difficile
Lineage: Bacteria; Bacillati; Bacillota; Clostridia; Peptostreptococcales; Peptostreptococcaceae
Description: bacterial SSU rRNA
Rfam family: Bacterial small subunit ribosomal RNA
Source: RNAcentral
GGGGGCUAGCGUUAUCCGGAUUUACUGGGCGUAAAGGGUGCGUAGGCGGUCUUUCAAGUCAGGAGUGAAAGGCUACGGCUCAACCGUAGUAAGCUCUUGAAACUGGGAGACUUGAGUGCAGGAGAGGAGAGUGGAAUUCCUAGUGUAGCGGUGAAAUGCGUAGAUAUUAGGAGGAACACCAGUUGCGAAGGCGGCUCUCUGGCCUGUAACUGACGCUGAGGCACGAAAGCGUGGGGGGCAAACAGGAUUCGAUACCCUGGUAGGCCACGCUGGAAACGAUGAGUACUAGGUGUCGGGGGUUACCGCCUUCGGUGCCGCAGCUAACGCAUUAAGUACUCCGCCUGGGAAGUACGCUCGCAAGAGU